GAUGAACGCUAGCGGCAGGCUUAAUACAUGCAAGUCGAGGGGCAGCGCAGUGUAGCAAUACAUAGGCGGCGACCGGCAAACGGGUGCGGAACACGUACAGAACCUUCCUUCGAGCGGGGAAUAGCCCAGAGAAAUUUGGAUUAAUACCCCAUAGUAUAGUGGAGAGGCAUCUCUUUACUAUUAAAGAUUUAUCACUUGAAGAUGGCUGUGCGGCGAUUAGGUAGUUGGCGGGUAACGGCCCACAAGCCUGCGAUCAGUAACUGGUGUGAGAGCACGACCAGUCACACGGGCACU
RNAcentral lists this ribosomal RNA (294 nucleotides) under uncultured bacterium. RNAcentral's name for it is "partial 16S ribosomal RNA". It matches the Rfam family "Bacterial small subunit ribosomal RNA", at positions 28 to 320 of the family's 1533-position model. The record is from RNAcentral.